Molecule: ribosomal RNA, 331 nt
Filed under: uncultured eukaryote
Lineage: Eukaryota
Description: partial 18S ribosomal RNA
Rfam family: Eukaryotic small subunit ribosomal RNA
Source: RNAcentral
CCCUUAGAUGUUCUGGGCCGCACACGCGCUACACUGACGAAGUCAGCGAGCAUGUCCUACGCCGACAGGUGCGGGGAAUCUUGUCAAACUUCGUCGUGAUGGGGAUUGAUUAUUGAAAUUCUUGAUCAUCAACGAGGAAUUCCUAGUAAGCGCAAGUCAGCAGCUUGCGUUGAUUACGUCCCUGCCCUUUGUACACACCGCCCGUCGCUACUACCGAUUGAAUGGUUUAGUGAGAUCUUCGGAUUGGCGCCACUGCGGCUCAGCAAUGGGCUCGGUGGAUGCCGAAAAGUUGAUCAAACUUGAUCAUUUAGAGGAAGUAAAAGUCGUAACA